GUGGGUCCUUCCUCAAUCAGGAAGUACAGAUGACAUCGCUGGAGCACAUGGUGUGGCCAGAGGUUUGAGGUUGAGGCAGAAAAAUGACAAGUAAAGAGAAGACAAGAAGAUGCAGGAAGAGACUAAACGCUGAUCCCAGAAAGAGAGGAAAUCCUGAGAAGGAGACGCAGAAAGUUAACAGAAUAAGAUGAUAGAAUAAGUGUGUGUGUGUAAGGGGGUAGGUGGUAGAAGACAAUGCCAUUAGGAGUAUGUGGCAACAAUAGAUAGCACCUGGAUCUUGACUAAAGCCUUUCUCAGUUUCAUCUCUUUAUCAUUGAGCAUGAGGGAAAUAUAGAGAGAGGGAAAGAUGAUGAGAGGGAGAGAUGACAUGGACAGAAGAAGAGUGGAGAAGAGAGAGGGAAUGCAGCACACCACAACCUUCACCACCUCCCUUACAAGUAAAAAAGAAAAGUCUACCAAACUCCAAGAGGCAAUCAAAACAACAUAAAAUAAAGAAAAUAUUGUAUGGUGUUCACACACUUUUGAAAGUUUCAUAAAAUAUAUUUUUGAAAGGGGAAAA
Acipenser ruthenus (sterlet) is the source of this 559-nucleotide long non-coding RNA. RefSeq lists it as uncharacterized. The transcript has 2 exons. The record is from RefSeq and is a predicted model, not a curated record. NCBI's taxonomy places the organism in Eukaryota, Metazoa, Chordata, Actinopteri, Acipenseriformes, Acipenseridae.